Molecule: ribosomal RNA, 371 nt
Filed under: uncultured bacterium
Lineage: Bacteria
Description: bacterial SSU rRNA
Rfam family: Bacterial small subunit ribosomal RNA
Source: RNAcentral
UAAUACGGAGGAUCCAAGCGUUAUCCGGAAUCAUUGGGUUUAAAGGGUCCGUAGGCGGUUUAAUAAGUCAGUGGUGAAAUCUGGUCGCUCAACGAUCAAACGGCCAUUGAUACUGUUAGACUUGAAUUACUGGGAAGUAACUAGAAUAUGUAGUGUAGCGGUGAAAUGCUUAGAUAUUACAUGGAAUACCAAUUGCGAAGGCAGGUUACUACCAGUUGAUUGACGCUGAUGGACGAAAGCGUGGGGAGCGAACAGGAUUAGAUACCCUGGUAGUCCACGCCGUAAACGAUGGAUACUAGCUGUUGGGAGCAAUCUCAGUGGCUAAGCGAAAGUGAUAAGUAUCCCACCUGGGGAGUACGUUCGCAAGAAUG